GUCCCAUCUAUAUAUUGCCGUCCUUGGAAAAAAAUGCCGGAAAUCGAAAAAAAAAAUGGCAUUAGGUGUAUUACUACGUUUUUCCUUAGGACGGCAGUAUUUUUAAUUGUCUAUACCUACAGAAAAAAUACUGUACCUAUAACAAUAAUUUUAGUUAUCCACCUCAUAAAAUUAUUAUAUAUUAAUAUAAUACAUAGUAAAACCAAUAGAUCCCUCGCUACGUUACGAACCUAAAAGGCAUCAAAAUUAGCGACCCAACCUAAUCCAGCUCUACAACAUAUAUAAACAUACAUAAUAAUAAAUAAAUAAGCACUUACCUAUAAAUUGUAAAUACUUCGGUUUACUAUACAUAAUAUAGUACCUACUACUCGAAUUAAUUAUAGGAUUUAAUUAGAUUUUAAACAGUUAGAUAUUACUUAAUCCUAUAUCUAUAUA
Cinara cedri is the source of this 435-nucleotide non-coding RNA. The record is from the annotation of a GenBank genome assembly. NCBI's taxonomy places the organism in Eukaryota, Metazoa, Arthropoda, Insecta, Hemiptera, Aphididae.